RNAcentral lists this non-coding RNA (29 nucleotides) under Rattus norvegicus (Norway rat). The record is from RNAcentral. Lineage: Eukaryota; Metazoa; Chordata; Mammalia; Rodentia; Muridae.
UGAGCAGGUGCAAUGAAAGAUCCUAGAAA